Molecule: ribosomal RNA, 292 nt
Filed under: uncultured bacterium
Lineage: Bacteria
Description: partial 16S ribosomal RNA
Rfam family: Bacterial small subunit ribosomal RNA
Source: RNAcentral
GUGCCAGCAGCCGCGGUAAAACGUAGGAGGCGAGCGUUAUCCGGAGUUACUGGGCGUAAAGCGCGUGUAGGUGGUCUGUUGCGUCUGCUGUGAAAUGUCCCGGCUUAACCGGGAAGGUGCGGCGGAUACGGGCAGACUAGAGGGUGACAGAGGAGCGUAGAAUUCCGGGUGUAGUGGUGAAAUGCGUAGAGAUCCGGAGGAAUACCAGUGGCGCAAGCGGCGCUCUGGGUCGAGCCUGACACUGAGACGCGAAGGCAUGGGGAGCGAACGGGAUUAGAAACCCCCGUAGUCC